This 482-nucleotide ribosomal RNA is filed under the name uncultured bacterium. RNAcentral's name for it is "partial 16S ribosomal RNA". It matches the Rfam family "Bacterial small subunit ribosomal RNA", at positions 27 to 507 of the family's 1533-position model. The record is from RNAcentral.
GGAUGAACGCUGGCGGCGUGCUUAACACAUGCAAGUCGAACGAAGCAUUUGCGACAGCUUUUUUCGGAAUGAAGUUGCUUAUGACUGAGUGGCGGACGGGUGAGUAACGCGUGGGUAACCUGCCUUGUACUGGGGGAUAGCAGCUGGAAACGGCUGGUAAUACCGCAUAAGCGCACAAUGUUGCAUGACAUGGUGUGAAAAACUCCGGUGGUAUAAGAUGGACCCGCGUCUGAUUAGCUAGUUGGUGAGAUAACAGCCCACCAAGGCGACGAUCAGUAGCCGAGCUGAGAGGGUGACCGGCCACAUUGGGACUGGGACACGGCCCAGACUCCUACGGGAGGCAGCAGUGGGGAAUAGUGCACAAUGGAGGAAACUCUGAUGCAGCGACGCCGCGUGAGUGAAGAAGUAAUUCGUUAUGUAAAGCUCUAUCAGCAGGGAAGAUAGUGACGGUACCUGACUAAGAAGCUCCGGCUAAAUACGUG